Molecule: long non-coding RNA, 936 nt
Organism: Sardina pilchardus (European sardine)
Lineage: Eukaryota; Metazoa; Chordata; Actinopteri; Clupeiformes; Clupeidae
Exons: 4
Source: RefSeq, a predicted model, not a curated record
CAAGGACAUCACGUCUACUACUAGCCUACGUGCAAAGACAACAGCUGGCAGCAGUCUGCCCUGUGUGAAAAUGCCAUGAAAAUGCCAUGAGCUGUCAUGUGACACAUGCAAACACAAGAAAGCGGAAACGCAUGAUGGAGCGAGAGCCACAGUGGGGUGUGUUUUCCUGAAGAGGCUGAAACAUGCUGGCCUUGACACCUCAGUCCUUGCUUCCAUUAACAGCUGUGUUAUGGAGCGCAUCCUCGGGUUAGGAUGUGCUAACCCACAUCAUGGUCUUCUGCAGCGGGUGGAUACAGAGGACAAUCGGCAGUAGGUUAGUGUUGAUCAUUUGUUUGGUACCUAUUCCUUCAAGAGGGGUGCCAGUGUCCUGAUGCUGACCAGUGCCACCGGUUCCGCCACUUGCUUCCUGCUGGAGCCUAAGCACCAACUGGAUGAGGGGACUCCUCUCUGUGUUGAAUCCCCGGCUCUCUAAGGCUUUGAAGUGGAGAGUGGUGUCGAACUACAAGACAGCCAGCAUGUAAACAAGGCCUUGUUUGUCCUUGUUUGGCUACUCAUCACUCUUCUACUUCCUGAAGAGGCUGAAGCAUGCUGGCCUUGACACCUCAGUCCUUGCUUCCAUUAACAGCUGUGUUAUGGAGCACAUCGUCAUCAUUGUCUACUACUGCAACGGGUGGAUAAGGAGGGCAAAUGGCAGGUAUUUUACAUCACUUUUACAUUACUUUUACUGUCAUAUUUAGAAAAUAGUCAUGAUCCCCCAUUCAAAAAAGUAAAACUUUACUUUGUUGAUAUCAAAACUUACACCUGGCUUGACAUAGUUGGAUUGGCGUUAGUGAAACGAGUUGCGCAAGGAUGACCAGACAACGCUAUCCGCUUUAUCACUUAUCUUGGAUGUCUUAAUUCUGCUUUUGUGAAACCCCACUGCUGUUGUUGUCUGUU